Molecule: long non-coding RNA, 401 nt
Organism: Vigna radiata var. radiata (mung bean)
Lineage: Eukaryota; Viridiplantae; Streptophyta; Magnoliopsida; Fabales; Fabaceae
Exons: 3
Source: RefSeq, a predicted model, not a curated record
CCAAAACUUCUUCCCUUCUCUCUCUAGAUUCAUUCCUCACUAAGCCACCUACUCAACAAUCAGGGAGCACGUAAAGGUUCCUGGCGUUGAGAGUUCCAAUUCCACCGAUCAAAUUCGGUUUUCUUCCACUGGUGCUUUUAGAAUUUCCCUAAGGGCAGAACACUGUUCAUCAUCCUGGGAGCUAAGCUGUUUGAUUAGAGAGGCAGAUGAUGUACCUUUGGAGCAAGCCCUGGAGAGUGAAGAUACAGCCCCUAGUUCUUAGAAUUACUAUUAGUUAUCUUCUUCAUUUUGAAAUACUCUAAAGUUUGUAAAGUUUUAGAUUUAUAGUUUUUUUUUUAUGACUGUAAACUUUAUAACUGUAAAUUUCAUCCAUAAAUUGUUUUGGCAUAUUAUAAUAUUAA